RNAcentral lists this ribosomal RNA (2871 nucleotides) under Streptomyces sp. NRRL B-24085. RNAcentral describes it as "bacterial LSU rRNA". It matches the Rfam family "Bacterial large subunit ribosomal RNA". The record is from RNAcentral. Lineage: Bacteria; Bacillati; Actinomycetota; Actinomycetes; Kitasatosporales; Streptomycetaceae.
CCAAGUUUUUAAGGGCGCACGGUGGAUGCCUUGGCACCAGGAACCGAUGAAGGACGUGGGAGGCCACGAUAGUCCCCGGGGAGUCGUCAACCAGGCUUUGAUCCGGGGGUUUCCGAAUGGGGAAACCCGGCAGUCGUCAUGGGCUGUCACCCUUGCCUGAACACAUAGGGCAAGUGGAGGGAACGCGGGGAAGUGAAACAUCUCAGUACCCGCAGGAAGAGAAAACAACCGUGAUUCCGGGAGUAGUGGCGAGCGAAACCGGAUGAGGCCAAACCGUAUGCGUGUGAGACCCGGCAGGGGUUGCGCAUGCGGGGUUGUGGGAUCUCUCUUCUGUCGUCUGCCGGCGACAGGACGAGUCAGAAACCGUUGAUGUAGGCGAAGGACAUGCGAAAGGUCCGGCGUAGAGGGUAAGACCCCCGUAGUCGAAACGUCAGCGGCUCGUUUGAGAGACACCCAAGUAGCACGGGGCCCGAGAAAUCCCGUGUGAAUCUGGCGGGACCACCCGCUAAGCCUAAAUAUUCCCUGGUGACCGAUAGCGGAUAGUACCGUGAGGGAAUGGUGAAAAGUACCGCGGGAGCGGAGUGAAAUAGUACCUGAAACCGUGUGCCUACAAGCCGUGGGAGCGUCGGGCAAGCACUUGUGCUUGCCUCGUGACUGCGUGCCUUUUGAAGAAUGAGCCUGCGAGUUUGCGGUGUGUUGCGAGGUUAACCCGGGUGGGGUAGCCGUAGCGAAAGCGAGUCCGAAUAGGGCGAUUCAGUAGCACGCUCAAGACCCGAAGCGGAGUGAUCUAGCCAUGGGCAGGUUGAAGCGGAGGUAAGACUUCGUGGAGGACCGAACCCACCAGGGUUGAAAACCUGGGGGAUGACCUGUGGUUAGGGGUGAAAGGCCAAUCAAACUCCGUGAUAGCUGGUUCUCCCCGAAAUGCAUUUAGGUGCAGCGUCGUGUGUUUCUUGCCGGAGGUAGAGCACUGGAUAGGCGAUGGGCCCUACCGGGUUACUGACCUUAGCCAAACUCCGAAUGCCGGUAAGUGAGAGCGCGGCAGUGAGACUGUGGGGGAUAAGCUCCAUGGUCGAGAGGGAAACAGCCCAGAGCAUCGACUAAGGCCCCUAAGCGUACGCUAAGUGGGAAAGGAUGUGGAGUCGCAGAGACAACCAGGAGGUUGGCUUAGAAGCAGCCACCCUUGAAAGAGUGCGUAAUAGCUCACUGGUCUAGUGAUUCCGCGCCGACAAUGUAGCGGGGCUCAAGCGUACCGCCGAAGUCGUGUCAUUGCAGCAUGAGGGCCAACGCCCGCUGUGAUGGGUAGGGGAGCGUCGUGUGCCGGGUGAAGCUGCGCCGGAAGGCAGUGGUGGACGGUUCACGAGUGAGAAUGCAGGCAUGAGUAGCGAUACACACGUGGGAAACGUGUGCGCCGAUUGACUAAGGGUUCCUGGGUCAAGCUGAUCUGCCCAGGGUAAGUCGGGACCUAAGGCGAGGCCGACAGGCGUAGUCGAUGGAUAACCGGUUGAUAUUCCGGUACCCGCUGUGAAGCGUCAAACAUCGAACCAGGCGAUGCUAAGUCCGUGAAGCCGCCCCGGAGCCUUCGGGCAAAGGGGAGUGGUGGAGCCGACGAACCAGACUUGCAGUAGGUGAGUGAUGGGGUGACGCAGGAAGGUAGUCCAUCCCGGGCGGUGGUUGUCCCGGGGUAAGGGUGUAGGCCGUGNNNNNNNNNNNNNNNNNNNNNNNNNNNNNNNNNNNNNNNNNNNNNNNNNNNNNNNUGGUGAUCCGAUUUACUCGGUGAGCUGGGGGUGGCCGCAGAGACCAGCGAGAAGCGACUGUUUACUAAAAACACAGGUCCGUGCGAAGCCGUAAGGCGAUGUAUACGGACUGACGCCUGCCCGGUGCUGGAACGUUAAGGGGACCGGUUAGUCACAUUUCGGUGUGGCGAAGCUGAGAACUUAAGCGCCAGUAAACGGCGGUGGUAACUAUAACCAUCCUAAGGUAGCGAAAUUCCUUGUCGGGUAAGUUCCGACCUGCACGAAUGGCGUAACGACUUCUCGACUGUCUCAACCAUAGGCCCGGUGAAAUUGCACUACGAGUAAAGAUGCUCGUUUCGCGCAGCAGGACGGAAAGACCCCGGGACCUUUACUACAGUUUGAUAUUGGUGUUCGGUUCGGCUUGUGUAGGAUAGCUGGGAGACUUUGAAGCAGCCACGCCAGUGGUUGUGGAGUCGUCGUUGAAAUACCAGUCUGGUCGUGCUGGAUGUCUAACCUGGGUCCGUGAUCCGGAUCAGGGACAGUGUCUGAUGGGUAGUUUAACUGGGGCGGUUGCCUCCUAAAGAGUAACGGAGGCGCCCAAAGGUUCCCUCAGCCUGGUUGGUAAUCAGGUGUUGAGUGUAAGUGCACAAGGGAGCUUGACUGUGAGACCGACGGGUCGAGCAGGGACGAAAGUCGGGACUAGUGAUCCGGCGGUGGCUUGUGGAAGCGCCGUCGCUCAACGGAUAAAAGGUACCCCGGGGAUAACAGGCUGAUCUUCCCCAAGAGUCCAUAUCGACGGGAUGGUUUGGCACCUCGAUGUCGGCUCGUCGCAUCCUGGGGCUGGAGUCGGUCCCAAGGGUUGGGCUGUUCGCCCAUUAAAGCGGUACGCGAGCUGGGUUUAGAACGUCGUGAGACAGUUCGGUCCCUAUCCGCUGUGCGCGUAGGAGUCUUGAGAAGGGCUGUCCCUAGUACGAGAGGACCGGGACGGACGAACCUCUGGUGUGCCAGUUGUUCUGCCAAGGGCAUGGCUGGUUGGCUACGUUCGGGAGGGAUAACCGCUGAAAGCAUCUAAGCGGGAAGCCUGCUUCGAGAUGAGGACUCCCACCCCCUUGAGGGGUUAAGGCUCCCAGUAGACGAC